RNAcentral lists this ribosomal RNA (253 nucleotides) under uncultured bacterium. Its description in RNAcentral is "partial 16S ribosomal RNA". It matches the Rfam family "Bacterial small subunit ribosomal RNA", at positions 524 to 776 of the family's 1533-position model. The record is from RNAcentral.
UACGUAGGUGACCAGCGUUGUCCGGAUUUACUGGGCGUAAAGAGCGCGCAGGCGGUCGUUCAAGUCGAGUGUGAAAGCCCCCGGCUCAACUGGGGGGGGUCACUCGAUACUGAUCGACUUGAAGGCAGGAGAGGGAAGCGGAAUUCCCGGUGUAGUGGUGAAAUGCGUAGAUAUCAGGAGGAACACCUGCGGUGUAGACGGCUUUCUGGACCAUUGCUGACGCUGAGACACGAAAGCGUGGGUAGCAAACAGG